CUACGGGAGGCUGCAGUGGGGAAUAUUGCACAAUGGGGGAAACCCUGAUGCAGCGACGCCGCGUGAGUGAAGAAGUAUUUCGGUAUGUAAAGCUCUAUCAGCAGGGAAGAAAAUGACGGUACCUGACUAAGAAGCCCCGGCUAACUACGUGCCAGCAGCCGCGGUAAUACGUAGGGGGCAAGCGUUAUCCGGAUUUACUGGGUGUAAAGGGAGCGUAGACGGUGAGACAAGUCUGAAGUGAAAUCCCGGGGCUCAACCCCGGAACUGCUUUGGAAACUGCCUGACUAGAGUGCAGGAGAGGUAAGUGGAAUUCCUAGUGUAGCGGUGAAAUGCGUAGAUAUUAGGAGGAACACCAGUGGCGAAGGCGGCUUACUGGACUGUAACUGACGUUGAGGCUCGAAAGCGUGGGGAGCAAACAGGAUUAGAUACCCCGGUAGUC
Molecule: ribosomal RNA, 439 nt
Filed under: uncultured bacterium
Lineage: Bacteria
Description: partial 16S ribosomal RNA
Rfam family: Bacterial small subunit ribosomal RNA
Source: RNAcentral